CCAAUAGCGUAUAUUAAAGUUGUUGCAGUUAAAAAGCUCGUAGUUGAAUUUCGGGACCAAUUUGUUGGUCGUGCCUCGGUACGUACUGGUAUUAUUGGUUCCUCCCUUCUGAAGAACCUCGAUGCCAUUAAUUUGGUGUCGUGGGGAAUCAGGACUGUUACUUUGAAAAAAUUAGAGUGUUUAAAGCAAGCAUACGCUUGAAUACAUUAGCAUGGAAUAAUGAAAUAGGACGUUUGAUUCUAUUUUGUUGGUUUCUAGGAUCGACGUAAUGAUUAAUAGGGAUAGUUGGGGGCAUUAGUAUUCAAUUGUCAGAGGUGAAAUUCUUGGAUUUAUUGAAGACUAACUACUGCGAAAGCAUUUGCCAAGGAUGUUUUCAUUAAUCAAGAACGAAAGUUAGGGGAUCGAAGACGAUCAGAUACCGUCGUAGUCUUAACCAUAAACUAUGCCGACUAGGGAUCAGAUGAUGUUAAUUUUUUAAUGACUCAUUCGGCGCCUUACG
RNAcentral lists this ribosomal RNA (499 nucleotides) under uncultured Glomeromycotina. RNAcentral describes it as "partial small subunit ribosomal RNA". It matches the Rfam family "Eukaryotic small subunit ribosomal RNA", at positions 591 to 1092 of the family's 1831-position model. Lineage: Eukaryota; Fungi; Glomeromycota. The record is from RNAcentral.